GAUGAACGCUAGCGGCAGGCUUAAUACAUGCAAGUCGAGGGGCAGCAGUCCCGCAGCAAUGCGGGAGCUGGCGACCGGCAAACGGGUGCGGAACACGUACAGAACCUUCCUUCGAGCGGGGAAUAGCCCAGAGAAAUUUGGAUUAAUACCCCAUAGCAUUACGAAGUGGCAUCACUUUGUAAUUAAAGAUUUAUCACUCGAAGAUGGCUGUGCGGCUGAUUAGGUAGUUGGCGGAGUAACGGCCCACCAAGCCUUCGAUCAGUAACUGGUGUGAGAGCACGACCAGUCACACGGGCACUGAGACACGGGCCCGACUCCUACGGGAGGCAGCAGUAAGGAAUAUUGGUCAAUGGACGAAAGUCUGAACCAGCCAUGCCGCGUGGAGGAUGAAGGUCCUCUGGAUUG
This 405-nucleotide ribosomal RNA is filed under the name uncultured bacterium. RNAcentral describes it as "bacterial SSU rRNA". It matches the Rfam family "Bacterial small subunit ribosomal RNA", at positions 28 to 425 of the family's 1533-position model. The record is from RNAcentral.